Molecule: microRNA precursor, 84 nt
Filed under: Bombyx mori (domestic silkworm)
Lineage: Eukaryota; Metazoa; Arthropoda; Insecta; Lepidoptera; Bombycidae
Description: mir-2807 microRNA precursor family
Rfam family: mir-2807 microRNA precursor family
Source: Rfam by way of RNAcentral
UUAACUCAAAUUUGUAUCGAGUUGUAAAGUUUGCCUACCUUUGCCGCUGGGGGCGUUGUUCCAACUGCAUACAGAUUUGAGUUA